AGUAACGUGCGGGCAACCUGCCCUGCACUGGGGAAUAAUCAUUGGAAACGAUGACUAAUACCGCAUACGGUUCCUGGGAGGCAUCUUCCGGGAAAGAAAGGAUUUAUUCGGUGCAGGAUGGGCCCGCAUCUGAUUAGCUAGUUGGUGAGAUAACAGCCCACCAAGGCGACGAUCAGUAGCCGACCUGAGAGGGUGACCGGCCACAUUGGGACUGAGACGCGGCCCAAACUCCUACGGAAGGCAGCAG
This 247-nucleotide ribosomal RNA is filed under the name uncultured bacterium. RNAcentral's name for it is "partial 16S ribosomal RNA". It matches the Rfam family "Bacterial small subunit ribosomal RNA", at positions 109 to 354 of the family's 1533-position model. The record is from RNAcentral.